This 478-nucleotide ribosomal RNA is filed under the name uncultured bacterium. Its description in RNAcentral is "partial 16S ribosomal RNA". It matches the Rfam family "Bacterial small subunit ribosomal RNA", at positions 28 to 523 of the family's 1533-position model. The record is from RNAcentral.
GACGAACGCUGGCGGCGUGCUUAACACAUGCAAGUCGAACGGUAAGGCCCUUCGGGGUACACGAGUGGCGAACGGGUGAGUAACACGUGGGUGAUCUGCCCUGCACUUCGGGAUAAGCCUGGGAAACUGGGUCUAAUACCGGAUAGGACUCCGGACUGCAUGGUCUGGGGUGGAAAGCUUUUGCGGUGUGGGAUGGGCCCGCGGCCUAUCAGCUUGUUGGUGGGGUGAUGGCCUACCAAGGCGACGACGGGUAGCCGGCCUGAGAGGGUGACCUGCCAGACUGGGACUGAGAUACGGCCCAGACUCCUACGGGAUGCAGCAGUGGGGAAUAGUGCACAAUGGGCGCAAGCCUGAUGCAGCGACGCCGCGUGAGGGAUGACGGCCUUCGGGUUGUAAACCUCUUUCAGCAUCGACGAAGCGAAAGUGACGGUAGGUGCAGAAGAAGGACCGGCCAACUACGUGCCAGCCGCCGCCGUAA